GAUAACUGUGGUAAUUCUAGAGCUAAUACAUGCAAAUAGAGUUCCGACCAGAGAUGGAAGGAAUGCUUUUAUUAGAUCAAAACCAAUCGGUGGCGGGCUUGCCUUGCUCACCGUUUGACUUGGUGACUCUGAAUAACUUUGUGCUGAUCGCACGGUCUCGUACCGGCGACGCAUCUUUCAAAUGUCUGCCUUAUCAACUGUCGAUGGUAGUUUCUGCGACUACCAUGGUUGUUACGGGUAACGGGGAAUCAGGGUUCGAUUCCGGAGAGGGAGCCUGAGAAACGGCUACCACAUCCAAGGAAGGCAGCAGGCGCGCAAAUUACCCACUCCCGGCACGGGGAGGUAGUGACGAAAAAUAACGAUACGGGACUCAUCCGAGGCCCCGUAAUCGGAAUGAGUACACUUUAAAUCCUUUAACGAGGAUCUAUUAGAGGGCCAGUCUGGUGCCAGCAGCCGCGGUAAUUCCAGCUCUAAUAGCGUAUAUUAAAGUUGUUGCGGUUAAAAAGCUCGUAGUUGAAUCUGUGUCCCACACUGUCGGUUCACCGCUCGCGGUGUUCAACUGGCAUGUCUGUGGGACGUCCUACCGGUGGGCUUAGCCCGUCAAAAGGCGGCCCAACUCAAAAUCCUACCACGGUGCUCUUCACCGAGUGUCGAGGUGGGCCGGUACGUUUACUUUGAACAAAUUAGAGUGCUUAAAGCAGGCUCAUUCGCCUGAAUAUUGUGUGCAUGGAAUAAUGGAAUAGGACCUCGGUUCUAUUUUGUUGGUUUUCGGAAUUCCGAGGUAAUGAUUAAUAGGGACAACUGGGGGCAUUCGUAUUGCGACGUUAGAGGUGAAAUUCUUGGAUCGUCGCAAGACGGACAGAAGCGAAAGCAUUUGCCAAAUGUGUUUUCAUCAAUCAAGAACGAAAGUUAGAGUUUCGAAGGCGAUCAGAUACCGCCCUAGUUCUAACCAUAAACGAUGCCAGCUAGCGAUCCGCCGAAGUUCCUCCGAUGACUCGGCGGGCAGCUUCCGGGAAACCAAAGCUUUUGGGUUCCGGGGGAAGUAUGGUUGCAAAGCUGAAACUUAAAGGAAUUGACGGAAGGGCACCACCAGGAGUGGAGCCUGCGGCUUAAUUUGACUCAACACGGGAAACCUCACCAGGCCCGGACACCGGAAGGAU
This 1160-nucleotide ribosomal RNA is filed under the name Archaeopsylla erinacei erinacei. Its description in RNAcentral is "SSU rRNA". It matches the Rfam family "Eukaryotic small subunit ribosomal RNA", at positions 142 to 1240 of the family's 1831-position model. Lineage: Eukaryota; Metazoa; Arthropoda; Insecta; Siphonaptera; Pulicidae. RNAcentral also lists the same sequence under 1 other name. The record is from RNAcentral.